Molecule: non-coding RNA, 30 nt
Filed under: Homo sapiens (human)
Lineage: Eukaryota; Metazoa; Chordata; Mammalia; Primates; Hominidae
Source: RNAcentral
UGGCCCCCAAAUAAAGCCUAGAAGACACUU